RNAcentral lists this ribosomal RNA (497 nucleotides) under uncultured bacterium. Its description in RNAcentral is "partial 16S ribosomal RNA". It matches the Rfam family "Bacterial small subunit ribosomal RNA", at positions 28 to 507 of the family's 1533-position model. The record is from RNAcentral.
GAUGAACGCUGGCGGCGUGCCUAAUACAUGCAAGUCGAACGGAAAGACGAUGAGCUUGCUGCUUUGACGUUAGCGGAGGGCGGGUGUGUAACGCGUGGAUAACGUACCUAUAAGACUGGGAUAACUUCGGGAAACCGGAGCUAAUACCGGAUAAUAUCUUGAACCGCAUGGUUGGAUAGUGAAAGACGGUCUUGCUGUCACUUAUAGAUGGAUCUGCGCUGGAUGAGCUAGUUGGUAAGGUAAUGGCUUACCAAGGCAACGAUGCAUGGCCGACCGGAGAGAGUGGUCGGCCACAUUGGAACUUGGACGCGGUCCAGACUCCUACGGUAGGGAGCAGUAGGGAAUCUUCCGCAAAGGUCGAAAGCAUGACGCAGCAACGCCGAGCGAGUUAUGACGGUCCUCGGAUCGUAAAACUCUGUUUUUAGGUAAGAACAUAUGUGGAAGUAACUGUGCAGUGCGUGACGGUAACUAAUCAGAAAGCCGCGGCUAACUACGUG